Gossypium arboreum is the source of this 107-nucleotide non-coding RNA. NCBI's taxonomy places the organism in Eukaryota, Viridiplantae, Streptophyta, Magnoliopsida, Malvales, Malvaceae. The record is from Rfam.
AACCUAUGAUGAGAGCACUUUUUCAAAGGAUCUUUAAAUCUCUCCCAUGCAUCAUAUAAUGUCUCUGCAUCAAAUUGAAAAAAAGAAGAGAUGUUGUUUCUUAACUU